ACAUGCUUGAUAUUUAUAAUGUUUUAAAAUGUUAGUUUGUCCGUUUAAAUGUAGUAACCUAUGUGUGGGGCAAGUUACUAGCUAGCUAUGCUAACGGCUACAGCCAGUCGAGCCUUUGUCCCUUCAAAUGUGCUCAUGUGGGCUCCUGCAGCCACACACCUGUGUGGAGAAAAGCUAAUGGCUAACGGCAUCGAGCGGCUACAGGCAGGGAGCGGUGGGUCUAGCGUCUGUCCUUUUUCUGUAAUCACAUACACCUGUGGGGAACAGCUGAUCUUUAUCGCCCUUCCAGCGGCGACAGCCAGGAAGCGGUGGGUCUAGCUCGCUGUAGGAGCCACAUCCCAGUUACCUACAUGCAAGGAGGCUGUCAAACAGAGAAAUCACUGCAGACUGUUGGUACACAGACAUCUGCUGCCCAGCUCAGGAGUGAAGUACCUUUUGUUUUGAUGAGGUGAUGGUGAGGACAGCCACAGCUUCCAUCUGGUAGAGGACUGCUUCCGCUCAGUCUUCCAAAUAGUGAUGAGAACAAGGAUCACCACAUCUCCCUGUUUACCCUACUUUCUGUCUGCAGAGCCCUGCAAAAGCUUCUGACCUCAAACCCCCAGACCUCUUAAUUAACUCAGUAACCUAUACAUUGCACAUUGGAGUGUGAAGGUAACAGUUUGUUCUAGCUUUGGAGUAGUGGUGUAUUUUUUGGUUUACAAUAAAGUUGGCUUUAACUAUUAUGUAUUUCACUAAACUCUGUUUCUGAAGGGAAAACACUUUUAUUUAGGAAAUCAUAGUAUUGAAAUUACAUGUUUUUCUCUUUCUAAUAUGGUAAGCUAUAAAGUUGAAACGGCCAUAAAUAAAAAGCAUAUAAAUUAUAUAUAAAUAAAAUAAAAAAAUUCUUAAUGAGUGUUGCACUCACAAAAAACACAUUUUUACUCAAAUGGUAAAGGAGUUAAUCCACAGGUGGUCUACAUCAAUCAUACUAUGAGUGUUUUAGUGUUUUAUCCAUCAGGAAACUGCCUUCAUCUACAACCCAAGCAUGAAGACAUGGCAACUCAGAUUCUUCACCCCAGGAAUCCUCAGCACCAGCUCACUAGCCUCUGUAGACUAGAUACCUGUAACAACUUUAGAUACAGAGACAUAUUACUGUCAGAUUUAUAAAGAAUGACAAAAAACAUAAUUAAAAGCAGUAAAAAUACGUCAGGUCAAUAUAUAAUUUGAACCAAUGCUUUUUGUUCCCAGGAAGGUCAUGCAGUGAUUGCUCUAAAUAUUAAUGCACAUUUUUUAAAUAAAAUUGUCAGAGCAGCAGCACAAGUAAGACAAAAACAGUGAAAUGUGUAAAUGUAAAAUGUAUUUAUAUUAUUUCAGCUAUGCUCUCAAACUUAUUUAUUUGUAUAAUGUAAGCUAAAGUAGUGUUUUCUAUUAACGAGAGUUUUCCAGGUAAGUCGUGUUGUGAAUAUUGAAGCUGCACACGCCAUUUAGCAUACGCAUUAGCAACCGCUAGUCGCUUUGCAAAUUACAUAAAUCAAUUAAAUUGAAGUAAA
Long non-coding RNA from Betta splendens (Siamese fighting fish), 1529 nucleotides. RefSeq lists it as uncharacterized. The record is from RefSeq and is a predicted model, not a curated record. NCBI's taxonomy places the organism in Eukaryota, Metazoa, Chordata, Actinopteri, Anabantiformes, Osphronemidae. The transcript has 3 exons.